Photobacterium aquae is the source of this 38-nucleotide non-coding RNA. The record is from Rfam. NCBI's taxonomy places the organism in Bacteria, Pseudomonadati, Pseudomonadota, Gammaproteobacteria, Vibrionales, Vibrionaceae.
UGGUAAAUUGGGAACCGUAACCUAAGGGCGGUAGCGUA